UACGUAGGGGGCAAGCGUUGUCCGGAUUUAUUGGGCGUAAAGCGAGCGCAGGUGGUUUAUUAAGUCUGGUGUAAAAGGCAGUGGCUCAACCAUUGUAUGCAUUGGAAACUGGUAGACUUGAGUGCAGGAGAGGAGAGUGGAAUUCCAUGUGUAGCGGUGAAAUGCGUAGAUAUAUGGAGGAACACCGGUGGCGAAAGCGGCUCUCUGGCCUAUAACUGACACUGAGGCUCGAAAGCGUGGGGAGCAAACAGG
This 252-nucleotide ribosomal RNA is filed under the name uncultured bacterium. Its description in RNAcentral is "partial 16S ribosomal RNA". It matches the Rfam family "Bacterial small subunit ribosomal RNA", at positions 524 to 776 of the family's 1533-position model. The record is from RNAcentral.